RNAcentral lists this ribosomal RNA (503 nucleotides) under uncultured Acidobacteriota bacterium. Its description in RNAcentral is "bacterial SSU rRNA". It matches the Rfam family "Bacterial small subunit ribosomal RNA", at positions 13 to 524 of the family's 1533-position model. Lineage: Bacteria; Pseudomonadati; Acidobacteriota. The record is from RNAcentral.
UUGAUCCUGGCUCAGAAUCAACGCUGGCGGCGUGCCUAACACAUGCAAGUCGAGCGAGAGGGGGUAGCAAUACCCUAGUAAAGCGGCGCACGGGUGAGUUACACGUGGAUAACCUGCCUCGAAGUGGGGAAUAACCCCGGGAAACCGGAUCUAAUACCGCAUAAUCUGACGAGAUCUGUGGAUUUUGUCAGCAAAGGAGUAAUUCGCUUUGAGAGGGGUCCGCGGCUGAUUAGCUAGUUGGUGAGGUAAUGGCUCACCAAGGCCACGAUCAGUAGCCGGUCUGAGAGGACGGUCGGCCAUACUGGAACUGAGACACGGUCCAGACUCCUACGGGAGGCAGCAGUGGGGAUUUUUUCGCAAUGGGGGCAACCCUGACGAAGCAACGCCGCGUGGGUGAUGUAGUAUUUCGGUACGUAAAACCCUUUCGACGGGGAAGAAACCGCAAGGUUUACGGUACCCGUAGAAGAAGCCCCGGCUAACUCCGUGCCAGCAGCCGCGGUAAU